GGGUUGUGAGGUUAAGCGACUAAGCGUACACGGUGGAUGCCCUGGCAGUCAGAGGCGAUGAAGGGCGUGCUAAUCUGCGAUAAGCGCCGGUAAGGUGAUAUGAACCGUUAUAACCGGCGAUACCCGAAUGGGGAAACCCAGUGUGACUCGUCACACUAUCAUUAACUGAAUCCAUAGGUUAAUGAGGCGAACCGGGGGAACUGAAACAUCUAAGUACCCCGAGGAAAAGAAAUCAACCGAGAUUCCCCCAGUAGCGGCGAGCGAACGGGGAGGAGCCCAGAGCCUGAAUCAGCAUGUGUGUUAGUGGAAGCGUCUGGAAAGGCGCGCGAUACAGGGUGACAGCCCCGUACACAAAAGCGCAUGUGCUGUGAGCUCGAUGAGUAGGGCGGGACACGUG
This 397-nucleotide ribosomal RNA is filed under the name Salmonella enterica subsp. enterica serovar Thompson. Its description in RNAcentral is "bacterial LSU rRNA". It matches the Rfam family "Bacterial large subunit ribosomal RNA", at positions 1 to 428 of the family's 2925-position model. Lineage: Bacteria; Pseudomonadati; Pseudomonadota; Gammaproteobacteria; Enterobacterales; Enterobacteriaceae. RNAcentral also lists the same sequence under 3 other names. The record is from RNAcentral.